GCCAGCAGACACGUGCCUUCUCAUAUGAUGGAGUGUGGUGACUCUUCUCUGCUGCUCUGUGUUUACACAGCCAACUCUCAGGCAGGAUUCUCAACUGGACCAUACAAUGUGAACAUGGCAGAGGUAAGGAUGCCUCAGGUGGAGAAGUCAUGUUAAGCAACUUGCAAUACCGGGGACUGAAGAAAGCUGAGAACCUGACAGCUCCAUGUUUCAAUUUGGAAAAUGAUAGAUGAAGAAGUUUCAACAUCGGGACCAUAAUUCAAUUCUCUCCUAACUACUGAUUACAAUUGUGGUGGAGAAAAAGGUGUUCCUGGAGAAAGAAAGAAGACCAGAUAUUAGAGUGGGAAAGAAAAGAACAUUGAAUUAAAACAAACGGUAACUAAAAUGGCAGAAAAAAAGCUUCAGGUAUCGUAAAAGCAGUUGAGUUCUUGAUUUGAUUCUCCACUUGAUCGCUGUUGGUGUACAGAAGAUCUACUAAUUUGCAUACAUUAAUUUUGUAUCUGGAAAAUUUGCUGAAUUCUUCUAUCAGUUCUAGGAGCGUUCUGGAGGAGUCUUUGGAUUUUGAGGAUGUCUCUGGCAGUGGAAUUGAAAAUAGAAAAAAAAAAGGUGUAGCAGGCUUUAAGAGGCAUGUGUAACACCACAGGUGAGAGGCGACUGUGACUUGAAGAGGUGGUAGUGCAAGUAAUAAGCAAAGCUCAUAUUGUUUACAUGUUUGUCCACUCCAAAUCUCAUGUUGAAGAGCAAUCCCCGAUGCUGGAGGUGGGACCUGGUGGGAAGUCUUUGAGUCACGGUGGCAGAUCUCUCAUAAAAGUCUUGGUGCCAAGUCAAAGUAAUGAAUUUACCCAUAUUUCAAAUAAAAAAAAUUUUGCUGUUG
RNAcentral lists this long non-coding RNA (874 nucleotides) under Homo sapiens (human). RNAcentral describes it as "HSALNT0210117". Lineage: Eukaryota; Metazoa; Chordata; Mammalia; Primates; Hominidae. The record is from RNAcentral.